This 372-nucleotide unclassified non-coding RNA is filed under the name uncultured Gammaproteobacteria bacterium. RNAcentral describes it as "contains 16S-23S intergenic spacer region". The record is from RNAcentral. Lineage: Bacteria; Pseudomonadati; Pseudomonadota; Gammaproteobacteria.
UCUCGGCUUAUCACCGGCAGUCCCCCUAGAGUGCCCAACUCAAUGAUGGCAACUAAGGGCGAGGGUUGCGCUCGUUGCGGGACUUAACCCAACAUCUCACGACACGAGCUGACGACAGCCAUGCACCACCUGUACACCCCCAAAAGAAGCCCCAUCUCUGGAGCGGCAGGGUGUAUGUCAAACCCAGGUAAGGUUCUUCGCGUUGCAUCGAAUUAAUCCACAUAAUCCACCGCUUGUGCGGGUCCCCGUCAAUUCCUUUGAGUUUUAACCUUGCGGCCGUACUCCCCAGGCGGUCAACUUCACGCGUUAGCUUCGUUACCAAGGGAGUUAAUCCCCCGACAACCAGUUGACAUCGUUUAGGGCGUGGACUAC